Dendroctonus ponderosae (mountain pine beetle) is the source of this 331-nucleotide long non-coding RNA. RefSeq lists it as uncharacterized. The record is from RefSeq and is a predicted model, not a curated record. The transcript is spliced from 2 exons. NCBI's taxonomy places the organism in Eukaryota, Metazoa, Arthropoda, Insecta, Coleoptera, Curculionidae.
ACACUAGCUCUCACAUAACGCAAAAACGUUACUAUAUAAGCUCACUGAUGGGUACCCAGAAAUUAGUUUAAAUCGAACUGAUCGAGCUAAAAAUGAAAUUUUUCACUUACAUCUUUAUUGUGAUCAGUGCUAUUUUAGCAUUGAUGUCCGGAACAGCAAUGGUCAAUGCAAGAGGACCACCACCUCCAGAAGAUGGCGGUUCCAAUGGCGAUCCCCCACCGAAGGAAUUCGCAAUUUCAUCUCAAACUUAAACAACGUGAAGAACAUAAACGAUACCUAAGGAUGUUUUGUUACAUUUAAUUGUUUCAAUUAAAGAACUAUAUACAGCAAA